GUGAACAGCAUUUGGACGUGGGUGAGUCGGUCUAAGAGAUGGGCGAAAGCCUGGUUAGUAAGGGUGCAGAUGUGCGCUGUYCCUUCAUCGGGGCACGCAUAUCCUGGUUGGUUCUUCACGGGACCGCCUUAGGUGGCACCAGCUCUCGAAAGGGCAUCGGGUUAAUAUUCCCGAACCAGACACCUGGAUGCUGCCUGCCUCGAUUGGCCUCUUCACGGGGGUUGAUUGGACAGGUGGAGCACGGCAACGUAUAUGUAUGUGUGUAUACUCGGCGACGCUUGCGAUAGCCCUGGGAAGAGUUGUCUUUUCUUCUUAACCGUACCAACCGUGUGCACAGCCCUGGAAGCAGUUUACCUUGAGAGAGGGCUGGAGGUCGGGUAAAGCGCUGCACUUAUUGCAGCGUCCAGUGCGCUGUCGAGAGCCCCUGAAAAGCUGAGUCAGGACUGGACCAUGUUAGUCUCGUGUCUGGCCGUACCCAUCACCGCAUCAGGUCUCCAAG
RNAcentral lists this ribosomal RNA (499 nucleotides) under Rossella sp. ZMA POR16769. Its description in RNAcentral is "eukaryotic LSU rRNA". It matches the Rfam family "Eukaryotic large subunit ribosomal RNA", at positions 1513 to 1872 of the family's 3401-position model. Lineage: Eukaryota; Metazoa; Porifera; Hexactinellida; Lyssacinosida; Rossellidae. The record is from RNAcentral.